This 72-nucleotide transfer RNA is filed under the name Cordylochernes scorpioides. RNAcentral describes it as "tRNA-Gly". It matches the Rfam family "tRNA". From Rfam's summary of the family: Transfer RNA (tRNA) molecules are approximately 80 nucleotides in length. Their secondary structure includes four short double-helical elements and three loops (D, anti-codon, and T loops). Further hydrogen bonds mediate the characteristic L-shaped molecular structure. tRNAs have two regions of fundamental functional importance: the anti-codon, which is responsible for specific mRNA codon recognition, and the 3' end, to which the tRNAs corresponding amino acid is attached (by aminoacyl-tRNA synthetases). tRNAs cope with the degeneracy of the genetic code in two manners: having more than one tRNA (with a specific anti-codon) for a particular amino acid; and 'wobble' base-pairing, i.e. permitting non-standard base-pairing at the 3rd anti-codon position. The record is from RNAcentral. Lineage: Eukaryota; Metazoa; Arthropoda; Arachnida; Pseudoscorpiones; Chernetidae.
ACCAUCGGUGGUUCAGUGUUAGAAUGCUCGCCUGCCACGCGGUCGGCCCGGGUUCAAUUCCCGGCCGAAGCA